CUCACUUUCUUCCUCAGCUCCAGGCUCGAUCUGGAUCUCGCCAGACGAACCUAGCAGCAGCAGGCUUCCUUUCCUCUUCUUGCCCUUCUCCAUGGAUAUAUUACCGAGCGCGGGCGGCCGUUCGGGGGUGCUUUCUUCCAGUCGACGGCUCUACCUACCAUCUCUUCGACCGGUGAGUCAUGAUCCCUUCGACUUGAAAAUAUGGCCAUGUGGACGAUGGAUCAGCGUGUCUUUCCCUGGCCAUCGAUGAUUGAUCUUCCUAUGACUCUUGCGGCUGACUUUGUUUUCUCCAUGGAGUAUGCACUUCGCAUGGGUUGACUUUUGACUUGUGCGGUCAGCUUCAUCCAUGCAUUUAGUAUAUCUUAAUCACAAUGAUGAACAUGUGUGCCAGCAGAGCGGGUCGCUAUGCGCAACUAGUAGCAGGGAGAAGCGUGUCAACGGAUGAUUACUGGACUUAGAAGUCAGGACCAGCCGGUCUAUUUUUCAAAUCUCACACGCUCGAGGAUCUGAUGGCCGGACCGUGCCGGCCUCUAUGCCUUUAUUGGUUGCUCAAAGCCUGGAAUAUUCCAUAGGUAUUGCUUGUAGCCCAUGUGUUUGGAUUCAAGUGUGGAUGCCAUGAUGAUUGAUAUGUAUACCUUUGAUAUUGGCAUCAAGAUCAUCUAUUUGAAGAGAAGAAUGUGAUAUAAUCAAGAAGAAGAAAUGAAGAUGGAGUUCUUGUGUGGAACUCAAGUUACCCAUGCUCUAGCUUAUGUGUUAAGCAAUGAAUGAUCAAGAUAUUAUGACAAAGCAUGAAGAGAUACAAGGUUGACCAAGAUUAAGAGUGAGGGUUGAAUUCAAGUUGGUAUAUAAAGAGUGUACCACUUUGGAUCAUGUGAUCUUGUGGUAUGGUAAGCCAAGUCCAUUAUGCUCCAUGAGCUAACCCACUAUAUAUGUGUAUUUGUUUUGUCUAUGUGGAUUAGGUAUGUUGCCAUGGGCUUGCAUCAAGAAUAUGAUCUAUGUGAGGAUGGCAUCAAGUAUGGAUGUCAUCAAGGUUGAGAAGGGCAAGUUCAAGAUGAGCAUAUCAAAGAUAUCAUGCUUGAAGUUUUUCAUAAAUUUGGUGGUAAUAGACAUGUGAAUAUGUGCCUCAAUGAAGUUUUCCCAUAGUGGUGUAUUGGGGAGCAGUCAUGAGUCUUCACGAAGCAACAGUGAUCAAUUGGGCAUUCCGCCUUAAAUGAAGCAUGAAGCAUCAUCAUCAAGAUCAAGCGGAAUGCGCAAGGCAAAGUUAUGGCCUUGCUAGGUUUUCCUUUUACCAGUCUCAAGGUGGUUGUUUGGAGACCGGGUUA
Molecule: long non-coding RNA, 1322 nt
Organism: Lolium rigidum
Lineage: Eukaryota; Viridiplantae; Streptophyta; Magnoliopsida; Poales; Poaceae
Exons: 4
Source: RefSeq, a predicted model, not a curated record